GCUCCCAUGGCGUAGUGGUCACUGCUUCGCCUUGCACGCGGGAGACCCGGGUUCGAUUCCCGGCGGGGUCA
RNAcentral lists this transfer RNA (71 nucleotides) under Diaphorina citri (Asian citrus psyllid). It matches the Rfam family "tRNA". Rfam says of the family: Transfer RNA (tRNA) molecules are approximately 80 nucleotides in length. Lineage: Eukaryota; Metazoa; Arthropoda; Insecta; Hemiptera; Psyllidae. The record is from Rfam by way of RNAcentral.